This 409-nucleotide ribosomal RNA is filed under the name uncultured bacterium. RNAcentral describes it as "SSU rRNA". It matches the Rfam family "Eukaryotic small subunit ribosomal RNA", at positions 555 to 962 of the family's 1831-position model. The record is from RNAcentral.
GCAAGUCUGGUGCCAGCAGCCGCGGUAAUUCCAGCUCCAAUAGCGUAUAUUAAAGUUGUUGCAGUUAAAACGUCCGUAGUCGAACGUUUGCCUAAUGUCCAGGCCUCUCAUCAUUCAGUUGUUGAGUUUGGUCUUGGACUGGGCACAAAGUCUAGAUGGCUUGAGUCUCUCGGGGCUUGAGUCUAUUCACUAGGCGUAUUACCAUGAGCAAAUCAGAGUGUUUAAAGCAGGCUUUUUAAGCUUGAACGUGUUAGCAUGGAAUAAUGAAAUAUGACCCAGGGUCUAUUUCGUUGGUUUUGAGACCCAAAGUAAUGAUGAAUAGGAGUGGUCGGGGGCAUUUGUAUUUCGGCGCUAGAGGUGAAAUUCUUGGAUUGCCGGAAGACAAACUACUGCGAAAGCAUUUGCCAAA